Molecule: non-coding RNA, 1022 nt
Organism: Camellia sinensis
Lineage: Eukaryota; Viridiplantae; Streptophyta; Magnoliopsida; Ericales; Theaceae
Source: RefSeq, a predicted model, not a curated record
UUCAGUCCCACUCAUUAUCUGAGAGUGAAAUUUGAGAGGUCCAGUAUGAUAGCUAUUCUUCAAACAUUGGUAACAUGUCAACAUCACAGGUGUUACCUGUUAUGAUCUGCUCAGAAGAUGGAAUCCUUGCUGUUGUUGAACAAGGUGAGGAACCCAUUGAACUCUUGGCUGAACCAUGUGCUAUCAACAGCUUUGACAUUGACCGAGAGAACCCCUCGGUGAUGUGUUUUUUCUUCUCUCUUCCUCCUAUACUCAGUUUAUCUCAGAGACGUACGACAUUUUGAUCUUGGGGAUAAAUUACUUUGCUAUGUCAUAUAUCUGUGGAAUUGCUAAGAAUGACUGAUGAUUUCAAUUGUUGCCAUAACAGGAUGUGAUAUGUAGUUUAUAGUGGGAGGCUAUUGCCAUCUUGAUGAGGGCAUAAUUUCUGAAACUAAGAUGAAGAAUUUGGUGGCAUAAAUAGGAUCUGUUCAUUAUCCUUUCAGUGUAUCGUAAAAAGUGAAAAGUGAUGAUCUACUUGGGGCAAAGAGAAGCAGCACAUCAUGAUUUUGGAAAGAUGAACUGGGUAGCUUCAGUGUGUUCUGGUAACCAGCAUAUGCACCCAAAAAUGUAAGGUUUAUAGUUAUGCUCCAUCUUAUCUAGUAGUAUAGAAUACAGAUGGCUUUUUAACAGCACCAAACUGAAUCCAUGUUGGAAAAGUAAUUGUUCUAAUCUUGGGCCAUCUGCUUUUGUUUUGAAAGACAUUGCUAACGAAACACUAAAGCCAUGGACCCAAAAAAAGUUGCCAUGAAAACUGUUCAGAGCACUAGUGCAUGGCUGAGAUUGAUUUAUUGUAUUGUGGGGUUUAUGGUUUAGAUGAAUUUUAACCACACAAUGAUUGAUUCUGGAUAAUAUUUAUGGGUUUGUAGCAUUGUUGCGAACGAAAUGCAAGCUGCAGUUGCAGCUAACUAUGGCUUGGCCCAAGUUAAUUGCUUUUAACUACAUUAGUAAGGUUUAUUUAUUUAUUUGAUGUCAUUUUCUUUUAA